AUUGAGAGCAAGCAGCUCGGAUGCAUUGUCACUGUCUAGCUUAAUGUUCAUUGUUAGUUAGAGUCUUCGGAGACGUUUAUGAUGUUGAGUAUUGGUUUUAGUAUUCUCAAUUUUGCGGUUAGGAAUACCUAUUUGGAUUGAAGUUAGAAUCGGGGUUGAAUGCGAGAUGCCCGAUUGUAAUUAAAAUAUAAUUUUUGACUGCAGGUUAGGGCUGUAUUAUAGUUAUACUAGUAAAUAACAGCUGCUUUUAUAUUUUAGACAUGCAAGUUACAUUGAGUUCACUUUGGAUUAAACUUUAUUGGAUAGUGUCACCUGGGGAUCUAAAACAUGUGGUUACGUUCGAGAUGUCGAUGUUCCUGAUUUUGUUUCAAGUACCAUCGUAAUAAUUGUUAUGAAAGAAUUAAACCGAUUUCAAAUUGGAUUCAAUUGCGGCAAAACUUUGAGGCACAGAAAGCGAGAUGGGCACUUUAUCGCUUUGAGUCGAGUUGCUUGAAAACUGAAUAUAGUUGACAAUAAAUCGAUUUGGCUGGGACAGGGCAUGGGGCACGUUGACAAUGGUCUCCAUUCACGUAAGCCAGGAAAGUAGAAGAUUAACUCAUUCUUAAAUGUUAUCAAAACAAGAAGAACCGUGUUCGCUCGCGAUGUAAUCAAGUGUGGAUGAAUGAGGUUUUGUGUCGAAAAUAUCGUACGUCUCAAAAACUUACGUAUGUCAUUAUUCUUCUGCAAACAUUUGUAGUCAGAAUCUCCUCUUCCAUCAAUGAAUUGAAACACCGUUAUACAAAUCUACAUUCUACGUUGGUCAGCAUACA
Styela clava is the source of this 809-nucleotide non-coding RNA. The record is from RefSeq and is a predicted model, not a curated record. Lineage: Eukaryota; Metazoa; Chordata; Ascidiacea; Stolidobranchia; Styelidae.